This 18-nucleotide ribosomal RNA is filed under the name Zelkova sicula. Its description in RNAcentral is "partial 5.8S ribosomal RNA". The record is from RNAcentral. Lineage: Eukaryota; Viridiplantae; Streptophyta; Magnoliopsida; Rosales; Ulmaceae.
AAAACGACUCUCGGCAAC